UCCUACGGGGAGGCAGCAGUGGGGAAUAUUGCACAAUGGGGGAAACCCUGAUGCAGCCAUGCCGCGUGUGUGAAGAAGGCCUUCGGGUUGUAAAGCACUUUCAGUAGGGAGGAAGGUAGUGUAGUUAACACCUGCAUUAUUUGACGUUACCUACAGAAGAAGCACCGGCUAACUCCGUGCCAGCAGCCGCGGUAAUACGGAGGGUGCGAGCGUUAAUCGGAAUUACUGGGCGUAAAGCGCAUGCAGGCGGCCUGUUAAGUCAGAUGUGAAAGCCCCGGGGCUUAACCUCGGAAUUGCAUUUGAAACUGGCAGGCUAGAGUCUUGUAGAGGGGGGUAGGAAUUUCAGGUGUAGCGGUGAAAUGCGUAGAGAUCUGAAGGAAUACCAGUGGCGAAGGCGGCCCCCCUGGACAAAGACUGACGCUCAGAUGCGAAAGCGUGGGGAGCAAACAGGAUUAGAUACCCUGGUAG
This 468-nucleotide ribosomal RNA is filed under the name uncultured bacterium. Its description in RNAcentral is "bacterial SSU rRNA". It matches the Rfam family "Bacterial small subunit ribosomal RNA", at positions 337 to 793 of the family's 1533-position model. The record is from RNAcentral.